RNAcentral lists this long non-coding RNA (317 nucleotides) under Mytilus galloprovincialis (Mediterranean mussel). The record is from RNAcentral. Lineage: Eukaryota; Metazoa; Mollusca; Bivalvia; Mytilida; Mytilidae.
AAUUUUUCAUUACAUUUAUUAGAUAUUUUUUCAUUUCCUGUAUUAGAUAUUUUUCAUUACAUUUUGAUAUUUUUGCAUUACAUUUAUUUGAUAUCUUUUCAUUACAUUUAUUAGAUAUUUUUCAUCACAUUUUCAUAUUUUCUCAAUACAUUUAUUAGAUAUUUUUUCAUUACAUUUAUUAAAUAUGUUGUAUUACAUUUACUUGAUAUCUUUUCAUUCCAUUUAUGAGAUAUUUGUUCAUUACAUCAAUGAGAUAUUUUUACAUUACAUUUACUAGAAAUAUUUUUUCAUUAACCUUUCAAAGGUAUUGUCCACCU